GACGAACGCUGGCGGCGUGCUUAACACAUGCAAGUCGAACGAAGAGCGAUGGAAGCUUGCUUCUAUCAAUCUUAGUGGCGAACGGGUGAGUAACGCGUAAUCAACCUGCCCUUCAGAGGGGGACAACAGUUGGAAACGACUGCUAAUACCGCAUACGAUCUAAUCUCGGCAUCGAGGAUAGAUGAAAGGUGGCCUCUACAUGUAAGCUAUCACUGAAGGAGGGGAUUGCGUCUGAUUAGCUAGUUGGAGGGGUAACGGCCCACCAAGGCGAUGAUCAGUAGGCGGUCUGAGAGGAUGGACGGCCACAUUGGGACUGAGACACGGCCCAGACUGCUACGGGAGGCAGCAGUGGGGAAUCUUCCGCAAUGGACGAAAGGCUGACGGAGCAACGCCGCGUGAGUGAUGACGGCCGUCGGGUUGUAAAGCUCUGUUAAUCGGGACGAAAGGCCUUCUUGCGAAUAGUGAGAAGGAUUGACGGUACCGGAAUAGAAAGCCACGGCUAACUACGUG
This 510-nucleotide ribosomal RNA is filed under the name uncultured bacterium. Its description in RNAcentral is "partial 16S ribosomal RNA". It matches the Rfam family "Bacterial small subunit ribosomal RNA", at positions 28 to 507 of the family's 1533-position model. The record is from RNAcentral.